This 556-nucleotide ribosomal RNA is filed under the name uncultured bacterium. Its description in RNAcentral is "bacterial SSU rRNA". It matches the Rfam family "Bacterial small subunit ribosomal RNA", at positions 63 to 628 of the family's 1533-position model. The record is from RNAcentral.
CGAGGUACAAUUUUAGAGCUUGCUCUAAGUUGUGCCGAGUGGCGGACGGGUGAGUAACACGUGAGCAACCUGCCCUGGAGUGGGGGAUAACGUCUGGAAACGGACGCUAAUACCGCAUAACAUCCCGGUGUGGCAUCACAUUGGGAUCAAAGGAUUUAUUCGCUUUGGGAUGGGCUCGCGCCCGAUUAGAUAGUUGGUGAGGUAAUGGCUCACCAAGUCUGCGAUCGGUAGCCGGACUGAGAGGUUGAUCGUCCACAUUGGGACUGAGACACGGCCCAGACUCCUACGGGAGGCAGCAGUGGGGGAUAUUGCACAAUGGGGGAAACCCUGAUGCAGCGACGCCGCGUGAGUGAAGACGGCCUUCGGGUUGUAAAGCUCUGUCGAGGGGGACGAAGAAUGACGGUACCCCUCAAGAAAGCCACGGCUAACUACGUGCCAGCAGCCGCGGUAAUACGUAGGUGGCGAGCGUUGUCCGGAAUUACUGGGUGUAAAGGGAGCGUAGGCGGGGGUUUAAGUUGGAUGUGAAAUACUCAGGCUCAACCUGAGGGCUGCAUCC